GAGGGUAUAGCUCAGUGGUAGAGCACGUGCUUAACAUGCAUGAGGUCCUGGGUUCAGUCUCCAGUGCCUCCA
Molecule: transfer RNA, 72 nt
Filed under: Camelus bactrianus (Bactrian camel)
Lineage: Eukaryota; Metazoa; Chordata; Mammalia; Artiodactyla; Camelidae
Also listed under: 2 other names
Rfam family: tRNA
About the family: Transfer RNA (tRNA) molecules are approximately 80 nucleotides in length. Their secondary structure includes four short double-helical elements and three loops (D, anti-codon, and T loops).
Source: Rfam by way of RNAcentral